Molecule: ribosomal RNA, 323 nt
Filed under: uncultured eukaryote
Lineage: Eukaryota
Description: partial 18S ribosomal RNA
Rfam family: Eukaryotic small subunit ribosomal RNA
Source: RNAcentral
CCCUUAGAUGUUCUGGGCUGCACGCGUGCUACACUGAUAUUGCCAAUAUGUCAUUCUUAUCCGAAAUGGAUUGGGUAAUCAAGUAAUGAAAUUUCAUGCUUGGAAUCGGUAAUUGCAAUUUUAUCGUGAACGAGGAAUUCCUAGUAAGCACUAGUCAUCAGCCAAUGUUGAUUAUGUCCCUGCCCUUUGUACACACCGCCCGUUGCUACUACUGAUUGGGUGUUCAAGUGAGAUGCUUAGACCCUUGUUGCAUGGUUCAUUAUUGUGCUCCGAAAGGAAAAAGUUUCAAGCUUGAGUGUCUAGAGGAAGUAAAAGUCGUAACA